RNAcentral lists this ribosomal RNA (425 nucleotides) under uncultured bacterium. RNAcentral's name for it is "bacterial SSU rRNA". It matches the Rfam family "Bacterial small subunit ribosomal RNA", at positions 356 to 773 of the family's 1533-position model. The record is from RNAcentral.
AGGGAAUCUUCCGCAAUGGACGAAAGUCUGACGGAGCAACGCCGCGUGAGCGAUGAAGGUCUUCGGAUCGUAAAGCUCUGUUGUUAGGGAAGAACAAGUGCCGGAGUAACUGUCGGCACCUUGACGGUACCUAACCAGAAAGCCACGGCUAACUACGUGCCAGCAGCCGCGGUAAUACGUAGGUGGCAAGCGUUGUCCGGAAUUAUUGGGCGUAAAGCGCGCGCAGGCGGUCCUUUAAGUCUGAUGUGAAAUCUUGCGGCUCAACCGCAAGCGGUCAUUGGAAACUGGGGGACUUGAGUGCAGGAGAGGAAAGCGGAAUUCCAUGUGUAGCGGUGAAAUGCGUAGAGAUAUGGAGGAACACCAGUGGCGAAGGCGGCUUUCUGGCCUGUAACUGACGCUGAGGCGCGAAAGCGUGGGGAGCAAAC